GGUAUUGAAAUAAGAUUUUAAAUGAGUGCUAAGAGAAUGAUUAAACAAUUAAAAACUUUCUUUAAUUAAAUAAUUAAAUUUAAUUUUUUUUGUGCAAAAGCAAAAAUAGAAUUUAGGGACAAGAAGACCCUAUGAAUUUUUAUUAUUAAUAUUUUGCAAUUAAAUUAUUAAUAAUUUAAUUGGGGUGAUAAAAAAAGAAUAAGUAUCUUUUUAAUUGUAAAACAAGUUCCGUUUUUAGCGAUUAAAUGAAAAAAAUACUCUAGGGAUAACAGCGUAAUAAUUUUGGAUAGUUCAUAUAGAUAAAAUAGUUUGCGACCUCGAUGUUGGAUUAGGAUUCU
Molecule: ribosomal RNA, 338 nt
Filed under: Ixodes scapularis (black-legged tick)
Lineage: Eukaryota; Metazoa; Arthropoda; Arachnida; Ixodida; Ixodidae
Description: partial 16S ribosomal RNA
Source: RNAcentral